UGGGAGCUUAAGGGCGCCGGCACGCGUUCCCCUGGCGCAGAGCUCGCUAGCCGGGGCGCGGGCUGCCUCCUUGUUCUGGUGUGAUCCGAAUGUAACGGAGCGGACUUUGGGAUCCAGAACCCCGGACUGAGGUUGUGCUUGGCUUGAGGGGCGGGCUGGAUUUUUCCUCUUAGGAUUUAUUUCCCUGGAGACCUCAUGAAGAAUGAUGUGGGUUCUAUAGGGUACAGUGUGAUCUGGGUCCUGCCUAAUCUCCUUUCUAAACUUCAGAAAAUCAUGUACCUUGGAGUUGUGGAGGCAUGUUUAUAAGCAGAUCUGAGUUUUGCCACACUGGAAUUUAUUUAUUCAUUGAACAAAUAUUUAAUACCUACUACAAUUCUUAGCCGAUAUAUCAGCACAACUUCUCUGCUCCAACUAGUCUACAUUGCAAAGCAUCUCCUAGUGUCUUUGGAAGAAGGAUCUAUGGUGUUAUAUGUGAACAAAGAUGUAGACUAGUAAGGUAUCAAGAUUUGAUGGGGAUAUCCAGACAACUUGGAGCCAAGUCCCCACAGCUGGAUCAGACAACUUUUGGUGACAUCUCACAGUGUGGAUUAUCAAGCCAGUGUAUCAGUCUGGAGCCUAGGUUUUUUGCCUUUAGCUUUGCUCAGGAUGACUUCUGCUCUUCUAUGGCAAUACUUGAGAAGCUACAGCUUUGAUUAGACGAGAGGCUAUUUCAAUAACUUUCUCCUGAUAAGAAGACCACCGACCGUGGACGGAUUCUGGCCAGUUUACAAAGGCUGCAUACCAUAGGGCAGGGCACCCCACUAUGGCAAACACUAAUAAUGAUAUUGCUCCUGAUUUUGUUUCUGAAGGGAAUGCCUCUAAGAUUUCUUCAUUAAUUAUAAGAGACUGGGUCUCACUCUGUUGCCCAAGCUGGAGAACAGUGGCACCAUCAUAGCUCACUGCAGCCUUCAACUUCUGGGCUCAAGUGCUUCUCCCACCUCAGCCUCCCAAGUAGCUGGGACAACAGGUGAAAUUGAAGGCCAGCUUUUGGAACUCAACCUUCAAAGGAACUUAAAAUUUCCAUUAUGUAGAGUCCCUGAGGAAACUGGAUCCACUAGCUACACUGGCUGAGAAUGCUCUCACCCCAGGAUUUCAUUUUUAUUUUACCACAUCAUUGUUGGUAUCUUAAGAUCAAUGUACUGGAGCAGCGGGGUCUCACAAAGAGGAUACCUGGUGACACGCCCAGGCUUUCAGAAUGCACUAUAGGGCUUUAGUGACUUGUCCAGGUUCAGCUGAAAUGUGCCAUCUGGGACCUACUAAUGCUUGUUGAACUUUACUGGAUCUCAGAAGCUGGGUCUCAGAAGCUCAGAUGUUCCUCAGAGCUACGAUAUCAACAACCUGUGAUGACAGAGAGAAGGUUGCUCCAUGAUGGAUUUGGAAACUUACUGGCUAGCUAAACCUGACUGAAUGGGAAGGAAUGUGGAUAGCUUUGGAACUCUAGUUUCACUAGAUGAGCUGGAAUUUGUAUUUUGACAAAUUGCACGUUAUGAUUAUUAAGUAAUGCAACUGAUUUUUUUUUCCCUUAAAACAAACAAUCUAGAAUCUGUGUAAUCAAAAUAAUUUCUCUAAAAGGCUGCAAGUAUAUGCUUAAAGUGUUGGGGCAUUCAGAGCAUUUGGAACAUUACAUUCUUUUGAAUGUCAAUUGGUAGAUGAAAAUACCAGCUUUUAAGUCAUACAUUUGAUUUUUUGAAACAAUAUGCAUUUAGAGUUUGUAAGUCAAGUGAAUAACUGAUAAGGUAAAAAAAAGGGGGAGUUCAUUGUUGAGUAUGAAUUUAAAGUAACCAGACUGCCUUUUGUCCAGUGGCUGUCAGUAAUUUACUUCAGCAGGCAUUUUUUUUUUUUUGAGGCUGUUCUAUGAUAUCAUGACCCUUCUUGUAGGAAUGUGCUUCCAGUGGUGAGGCAGUCUGAGAAUGUGUGAAGCAGUAUAAUGAAGCCAGACCAAGAUGGAAGCUUGGCCUGGGAUUUGAGCAUCAGGAAAACUGUUGAAGGGUUAUGUAUACAUCACACACACACACACACACACACACACACACACACACACACACACACUCUCUUCCAUACUCCUAUAACAACGUAUAGUAUUUACUAUACCUGGUGACAGGUAUUUACUAUACAUUGUUGAAGAUCUAUAACAUGGAAUGCCUAGUGCUAAGUGCAGUGUCCUUAGUGAAAUUGUAUUGGUUUGGAAUUAUUUAUGAGUUUGGGAUUAUUUGUCACUACCCUUAAAUGAUCUUGACACUCACCUAUUUGAAAAGAUAUUGAGGAUUUGCCAUUUGAUAUUGACCAGGGUGUAUUGUGCACAAAUAUUGUGAAUAUACAUCUGUCUGUCCUUAAAUCACUGUAAGUUUUAACUGGAAUAGAUUUGCUCCACAUUACUCGGUAGGGCUGAUAUUUCAUGCCUCAUGGAUGAGAAAAGAAUAGGCAAAAAUUAUAUCUCGGGCUGCCUCACACAUCUUUUAACAGGAUAAGGGAAAAAUAAAUAUAAGACCUAUGAGUUAUGGCAUCAGGCUUGAACUUUAAUUUAUGAAUUAAACCAACAAUAUUAUUGAUUAUUGCAAUUAUCUAUCUUAAUUUCAUUUGUUCUCCUUUUAAAAAUUAAUUAUGUUUAUUUUACCUAUUGUGAAUAAAGUCACUCCUCCCAUGUGCUUAUUUCUUGACUCUGGCACUAAUUAUUCUUCAGUGCCUAGAUUUCCUGGGACUGCUCAGUUUAAGUAACUUCUGAACAUUGGUCUCUGAGAGAAAAGACAGUGAAGUGGGAUCUGUGGAAAAACACAUCUGCAAAUGUCUCAUUUUUUUCUUCAGGGGUAAGUUUUCUUCCUUGGAGACUCUUGUCUUGAAAAAGUGAUACUAGAUCACCAUUUGGCAAGAUAAUUACAAAAGGCAGAUAGAGUAAUUAUUUUACAUAGCUGUUAUAGGGUGACUAAGAUCUCAGGGAAUGACUGUGUUCUGUAAUCCACUUGCCCCACUCAAUACCCCAAGUUUUAUACAAGCCAAAGAUGCUUGGAGCAGAAUCUGCUACCUGAGGCUCCAGGGCCUUGGCCUAGGGAAACUAAUACUUAACUUUUUAAGUGGUCAUUGAUGACAUCCCACUCCUUUCUGAGAUGGGUAUGAUUUGAAAGGCAGGUGUAUUCAUGGAGAGCAGGGCUUGGGACCUUUGCUGCAAGAGGAGGAACUAUUAGCCUAGACUUUUCUAAUAAGGACUUUCUCAUACCUGUUUCCUAGAUCUGGUCCACAUAGAAGAAAUCAGGGAACACACAGGGUAGGACUCUUAAAGGAGUAUGUUUCUUGGCUUUUUCCUAAAAACUAAAACAAAAACAUUCAUAGCAAAGCAGUUUAGCCCAGUGACUAAGAGUAUAGACAUUGGAAUCUGAAAGAUCUGGGUUGGAAUUCUGCUUCAGCCAUUUACUAAUUAUGUAACUUCACAUCUCUGAGAAUGGGGGAAAUUUUCUUUGCAGGGUUGUUACAAAGCUUAAAAGAGUUAAGUCAAGUGCCUGGAACAGAACAGCCAUUCAAUAAAUCAUAGAAAUUUUUGUUUUUACACAAAUUUUUAAAAAGUAAUAUUUUUUGCAUUUGUUAGAAAGACUAUAUUUUCUGUUUAGUGGAUGACAUCAUCAUCAUAAAAAUCACUGUUACAAGUUUUGUUUUGAGAAUUAAAAUCAUAUAUUAAUCCCAA
RNAcentral lists this long non-coding RNA (3712 nucleotides) under Homo sapiens (human). Its description in RNAcentral is "PREDICTED lncRNA (TCONS_00007774)". The record is from RNAcentral. Lineage: Eukaryota; Metazoa; Chordata; Mammalia; Primates; Hominidae.